CCAAUCGAACCCGGAGAUAGCUGGUUCUCCUCGAAAUAGCUUUAGGGCUAGCCUCGUUUUAGUCUUAUGGAGGUAGAGCACUGAAUUUCCGCGGGGGCGUCAAAGCUUACCAAAGAAUAUCAAACUCCGAAUGCCAUGUAGAUGAUGAACGGGAGUCAGACUGCACGAGAUAAGUUGGGCAGUCAAAAGGGAAAGAGCCCAGACCACCGGCUAAGGUCCCAAAGUGUGUGUUAAGUGGAAAAGGAUGUGGGAAUUCGAAGACAACUAGGAUGUUGGCUCAGAAGCAGCCAUACAUUCAAAGAGUGCGUAACAGCUCACUAGUCGAGAGUUCCUGCGCCGAAAAUGUCCGGGGCUGAAACACGACACCGAAGCCGUGGACUCGCAAUGCGAGUGGUAGAGGAGCAUUCUUAAAACCGACGAAGCUGUACCGGAAGGAGCAGUGGAGGGAUAAGAAGAGAGAAUGCCGGAAUGAGUAGCGAGAGGAAGGUGGGAAUCCUUCCGGCCGAAUAUCUAAGGUUUCCAGAGUAAAGCUGAUCUGCUCUGGGUAAGUCGGGGCCUAAGCACAGGUCGCAAGACGUAAGCGAUGGAUAACAGGUUUAGAUUCCUGUACCACGCAUUAUCAGAACUGUAGGGACGCAUGUGGAAAGCACGGGCCGGGAAUGGAAAAACCGGUACAAGCGGGGUAGGUGUACGAUAGGCAAAUCCGUUGUAUAAUCCGAAGACGUGAUGUGGAGCGAAAUAAAGUAGUGAAGCGUGUGAGCCAUGUGCCGAGAAAAGCUGCUAUUGUGUAAUGCGUGCCCGUACCGUAAACCGACACAGGUGGAUGAGGAGAGAAUCCUAAGGCCGGCGGAAGAAGCAUUGUUAAGGAAUUCGGCAAAAUGACCCCGUAACUUCGGGAGAAGGGGUGCCUGCGAGAGCAGGCCGCAGAGAAUAGGCUCAAGCAACUGUUUAGCAAAAACACAGGUCUAUGCGAAACCGAAAGGUGAAGUAUAUGGGCUGACGCCUGCCCGGUGCUGGAAGGUUAAGAGGAGAGGUUAGCGUAAGCGAAGCUUUGAAUUUAAGCCCCAGUAAACGGCGGCCGUAACUAUAACGGUCCUAAGGUAGCGAAAUUCCUUGUCGGGUAAGUUCCGACCCGCACGAAAGG
Molecule: ribosomal RNA, 1144 nt
Filed under: human gut metagenome
Description: bacterial LSU rRNA
Rfam family: Bacterial large subunit ribosomal RNA
Source: RNAcentral